RNAcentral lists this ribosomal RNA (550 nucleotides) under uncultured bacterium. RNAcentral's name for it is "bacterial SSU rRNA". It matches the Rfam family "Bacterial small subunit ribosomal RNA", at positions 355 to 896 of the family's 1533-position model. The record is from RNAcentral.
UGGGGAAUUUUGGACAAUGGGCGCAAGCCUGAUCCAGCCAUGCCGCGUGAGUGAAGAAGGCCUUCGGGUUGUAAAGCUCUUUCGGCUGGGAAGAAAUCGCACUCUCUAAUACAGGGUGUGGAUGACGGUACCAGCAUAAGAAGCACCGGCUAACUACGUGCCAGCAGCCGCGGUAAUACGUAGGGUGCGAGCGUUAUUCGGAAUUACUGGGCGUAAAGCGUGCGCAGGCGGUUGUGUAAGACAGACGUGAAAUCCCCGGGCUCAACCUGGGAACUGCGUUUGUGACUGCACGGCUAGAGUACGGCAGAGGGGGGUGGAAUUCCACGUGUAGCAGUGAAAUGCGUAGAGAUGUGGAGGAACACCGAUGGCGAAGGCAGCCCCCUGGGCCAGUACUGACGCUCAUGCACGAAAGCGUGGGGAGCAAACAGGAUUAGAUACCCUGGUAGUCCACGCCCUAAACGAUGUCAACUAGCUGUUGGUGGGGUUAAACCCAUUAGUAGCGUAGCUAACGCGUGAAGUUGACCGCCUGGGGAGUACGGCCGCAAGGUUA